Molecule: ribosomal RNA, 460 nt
Filed under: uncultured bacterium
Lineage: Bacteria
Description: partial 16S ribosomal RNA
Rfam family: Bacterial small subunit ribosomal RNA
Source: RNAcentral
CCUACGGGAGGCAGCAGUGAGGAAUAUUGGUCAAUGGACGAGAGUCUGAACCAGCCAAGUAGCGUGAAGGAUGACUGCCCUAUGGGUUGUAAACUUCUUUUAUAAAGGAAUAAAACGAGGCACGUGUGCCUUUUUGUAUGUACUUUAUGAAUAAGGAUCGGCUAACUCCGUGCCAGCAGCCGCGGUAAUACGGAGGAUCCGAGCGUUAUCCGGAUUUAUUGGGUUUAAAGGGAGCGUAGAUGGGUUGUUAAGUCAGUUGUGAAAGUUUGCGGCUCAACCGUAAAAUUGCAAUUGAUACUGGCAGUCUUGAGUACAGUUGAGGUAAGCGGAAUUCGUGGUGUAGCGGUGAAAUGCUUAGAUAUCACGAAGAACCCCGAUUGCGAAGGCAGCUUACUAAACUGUGACUGACACUGAUGCUCGAAAGUGUGGGUAUCAAACAGGAUUAGAUACCCUAGUAGUC